RNAcentral lists this ribosomal RNA (433 nucleotides) under uncultured bacterium. RNAcentral's name for it is "partial 16S ribosomal RNA". It matches the Rfam family "Bacterial small subunit ribosomal RNA", at positions 29 to 507 of the family's 1533-position model. The record is from RNAcentral.
AACGAACGCUGGCGGCAUGCCUAACACAUGCAAGUCGAACGAGACCUUCGGGUCUAGUGGCGCACGGGGGCGUAACGCGUGGGAACCUGCCCUUAGGUUCGGAAUAACUCCCCGAAAGGGGUGCUAAUACCGGAUAAUGUCUUCGGACCAAAGAUUUAUCGCCUUUGGAUGGGCCCGCGUUGAAUUAGCUAGUUGGUAGGGUAAAAGCCUACCAAGGCGACGAUCCAUAGCUGGUCUGAGAGGAUGAUCAGCCACACUGGGACUGAGACACGGCCCAGACUACUACGGGAGGCAGCAGUGGGGAAUAUUGGACAAUGGGCUAAAGCCUGAUCCAGCAAUGCCGCGUGAGUGAUGAAGGCCUUAGGGUUGUAAAGCUCUUUUACCCGGGAUGAUAAUGACAGUACCGGGAGAAUAAGCUCCGGCUAACUCCGUG